RNAcentral lists this long non-coding RNA (343 nucleotides) under Elaeis guineensis (African oil palm). Its description in RNAcentral is "long non-coding RNA (EGUI_LNC013460)". The record is from RNAcentral. Lineage: Eukaryota; Viridiplantae; Streptophyta; Magnoliopsida; Arecales; Arecaceae.
CCGAGGUUGUCUUUUCAUCCUCUUAAUGAUUGAAGGAAUCAAAGAUAAUUGUUUGUCCCUUAUAUCAUCCUCCUUCUUAGAGGUGACCUUUCUCUUUUUCUCCAUCCUUGGUUUUUCUUCCCAUAUGACUUCUACCUCCUCUUCAUCAUCCCCCUCCUCCCCUUCGUCCUCUUCUUUAUUUGCAAUGCCCUCCUGUUUGAGCAAUGAAUUUAGGAGGUUCUCAGCUAUGACAAGUUUUUUCUUAACCUCCUCAAGUUUAGUCUUCAUCUACGCAUAAGUUGCACAGCAUAUUUUUGGAUCCGAGGAUGCUUCUAUUGGACUGAUUAGCCACUGCUCCUAUGAU